This 824-nucleotide long non-coding RNA is filed under the name Lonchura striata (white-rumped munia). Its description in RNAcentral is "domestica (Bengalese finch) lncRNA (ENSLSDG00000008047.1)". The record is from RNAcentral. Lineage: Eukaryota; Metazoa; Chordata; Aves; Passeriformes; Estrildidae.
GUAGCCUAGACAUUGCAUUUUGUAAGUGAAAAACUGGUUUAUACCUUCUAACAUUCUGUACCUGGAGAACUGGUUAUUCUAAUUUGUUGUCAUUCUGCUCUGUGUAACCACCCAAUCCCCUACACACAGGAUGCCUGGGUUGGACAAAUUCCAAAAGUUGUACUGAAAAUAGAAGAUUUUAAUGAUGCCUCAAUCCCAAAUCAAAGGCAGAAUUACAGUCCCAUGUAUGCUCAGCCUCUAAGGGCAGCAGAUCCAGCAUCAGAUUAUUUCCCUCAGUCCCGAGCCCGGGGGGAUGAGUUUGACUAUCCCAGGGAGGGUUUGCCUUACCCAGUUUAUCCAGAGGCGAGACAGUACCAGAGAUACUAAGAACAAGUACUUCCUAUAUCAGAAAUGUCUUGGAAUGCUGCAUGAUCACUGAACAAUCCAGGUGCUGAGAGAGCAGUGAGAGCCUGGUGGGACACAGAGGAAAUUGCCAUCCUCAUUGGAAAGCACUAAGUUAUUGCAAAGAGAAGGCACAGAGGCUAAUUGUGAAAGAAAAGCUGGUGAUACUGAUACAGCUGGUGUGCUGAUACUGCAGCACACAAGGGUCUGGCCCUGGCAGUGUGGUACAAACACAGCCAAGGACUUGGCCUCUCUCUGUCCCAAGAUUUACCAAAUACCUACAGACCCAUUCCUUUGCCCCCUGUCUUUUUUAUUUUGUCUUCCAUCUGUGUUGAUCCCAACAGCUGGAAUGGUUUGCCUUUAAAACUGUUAAAACUGCCCUGGCUUGCUUUGUAACUUUUUUGUAAAUAAGGAAAAUAAAUGAAGCUAUUGAAGAUUGAGCA